RNAcentral lists this signal recognition particle RNA (288 nucleotides) under Crocodylus porosus (Australian saltwater crocodile). RNAcentral's name for it is "Metazoan signal recognition particle RNA (ENSCPRG00005018744.1)". It matches the Rfam family "Metazoan signal recognition particle RNA". Rfam says of the family: The signal recognition particle (SRP) is a universally conserved ribonucleoprotein. It is involved in the co-translational targeting of proteins to membranes. The eukaryotic SRP consists of a 300-nucleotide 7S RNA and six proteins: SRPs 72, 68, 54, 19, 14, and 9. Lineage: Eukaryota; Metazoa; Chordata; Crocodylia; Crocodylidae. The record is from RNAcentral.
GCUGGGUGCAGUGGCGAACACCUGUAAUCCUGUGACUCGGAGGCUGAAGCCGGCGGAUUGCUUGAGCUCAGGAGUUCUGGGCUGCAGUGCGCUAUGCCGGUUGGGUGCCUGCGUUAAGUUUGGCAUCAAUACCGUGAUCCCAGGGGUCACAACAUUGCUUAAGAAGGGGUGAACCAGCCCAGGUUUGAAAUGGAGCAGGUCAAAACUCCUGUGUGGAUUAGUAGUGGGACUGCACCUGUGAAUAGCCCCUGCUGCCUAGCCUGGGCAACACAGUGGGACCUGGUCACU